RNAcentral lists this long non-coding RNA (191 nucleotides) under Anas platyrhynchos platyrhynchos (common mallard). RNAcentral describes it as "lncRNA (ENSAPLG00000018154.1)". The record is from RNAcentral. Lineage: Eukaryota; Metazoa; Chordata; Aves; Anseriformes; Anatidae.
ACAGUUUCUUUUAGAAGUGCCACCCACUAAUAUUACAACUAUUAACCCAUCUGAGCGUAAUAUUAAUGAAUUUAUUCUCUGUUCAUUUCAGUUCUGCUGCUGAAACACAUAUAUGAAGAGUUUCUUCAUGCACUUUAUGUGCACUUGUCCUGGGAAAUUGUAAAUCCUUCCUUUUCCUUCAAGAUCCAGCC